GCCGGGCACAGUAGCACAUGCCUGUAAUCCUAGCAGCUUGGGAGGCUGAGACAGGAGGAUCACAAGGUCAAAGCCAGCCUCAGUAAAAAGUGAGGCACUAAACAACUCUGUGAGACCUGUCUCUA
This 125-nucleotide small RNA is filed under the name Marmota monax (woodchuck). Lineage: Eukaryota; Metazoa; Chordata; Mammalia; Rodentia; Sciuridae. The record is from RNAcentral.